GGCGCUAUAGCCAAGUGGUUACGGCGACAGAUUAGAAUUUGGCCAUCCUCCUAAUUCAUCUGUUCCUCUUUGAGGGCGCAGGUUCAAAUCCUGCUGGCGUCG
Molecule: non-coding RNA, 102 nt
Organism: Mycena floridula
Lineage: Eukaryota; Fungi; Basidiomycota; Agaricomycetes; Agaricales; Mycenaceae
Source: the annotation of a GenBank genome assembly